Pantherophis guttatus is the source of this 1578-nucleotide non-coding RNA. Lineage: Eukaryota; Metazoa; Chordata; Lepidosauria; Squamata; Colubridae. The record is from RefSeq and is a predicted model, not a curated record.
UCGCCCGACUCAAAGAUGGCGGCGGCCGCGGCGGGGCUGAGGCGAUCGGCCCGGGGGCUGCUGCGCUGCCCGGCGGUCUUCCGAAGCCAGCUGUAUCAAUCUCAGCGGGCCUUCCAUCCUGCAGUGGCACUGCAAAGAGUUUCAGAAGAACAGAAACAGCCCCCCUUCCCACCUCCCAGUCAGCAAUAUUCAGCAUCUUCCCCCCUGGAUGAAAAGCAUCCAGGUUCACACCACAGUUACACAGAUCAAGGGGGUGAAGAAUCAGAGGGCUACGAGAGUGAGGAGCAGCUACAGAAUCGGAUCCUGUCAGCAGCUCUGAAAUUUGUGCCCACUCAUGGCUGGACAAUGGAUGCAAUUGCAGAAGGAGCUAAGUCCGUAGGUCUCUCUGUUGCUGCAGCAGGGCUGUUUCACAAUGACGGCAGCGAACUGAUUCUCCACUUUGUGUCCCAGAGCAACUCCAAACUCUCUGAACUUCUUGAGGAACAGCACAAGCUGGUACAACUGGGCCAACUGGAGAAGAAGACGACAGACCAGUUUAUAAAGGAUGCUUUAGAAGCGAGGCUGAGAAUGCUCAUUCCAUAUAUUGAAAAAUGGCCUCAGGCUAUGAGUGUGUUGCUGAUGCCACACAAUAUUCCAGCCAGCUUCAACCUGCUUACCACCAUGGUGGAUGACAUCUGGCACUAUGCGGGAGAUCAGUCCACCGAUAUAAAUUGGUACACUCGCCGAGUAAUACUGGCCGGAAUUUAUAACACCACAGAACUGGUGAUGAUUCAGGAUUCCUCCCCGGAUUUUGAGGAUACUUGGUCCUUCCUAUACAACAGAGUGGCUGACGCAAUGAACGUGGGCCACACAGCUAAGCAGGCUGGCUGGAAAUUUUGGGAGCUGAAAUUCCAGCCUAUUUGGAGGGAAAAGCCGCAAUAAACCAGGUUAAGGCAACCGGAGAGGCCCUUCUUCAGGGACUUAUGGGCGCUGCUGUUACUUUCAAGAAUCUCAGCGGCCUCAACCAGCGUCGAUGAAGCAAUUAGCUGUUAGUUAGGAGCAUUUGAGCAUCUCUUCUGAGACUAGCAAAGAAACUGUGUCCUGUAAAUCUCGUCACAAGAACGUGAAACUGUCUCUUAUUCUGUACCACCGUUAAAACGAACGCACCAUUUCAUCCGUCUGAUGUGAAAACCUCGGCUUUUGGGGGAGCGUGUGGAAUCGCUGGCCACCCUGACGAUCAAUUGGACCAACGGCAACCUAAAAAAAUUAAAUUCUGUUUUUAACCAAAAAUGGGUUCGGUUUGAAAAAAAUGAUAAGAAGGGUGAUAGAAGUAUUUGGGGUUCGAAAUUCUUUUAGAGCACCCUUCUUUUCAUUUUCUCCACCUGGACAUGUUAGUGUGUCUUAGCCACAAACAGACUUCUGUUGUAUUGGUGGAAUUGGCUAAAUUAUCUCCCAGCUGCAGUGGCAGCCCUUCUCCGUUUAAAACCCAGGAUUCUGCUCUGCUGUUUGUUGACAGUGUAUUUAUGGCACUCUUGUGAAUAUAUAUAUUUUCCUGUACGUUUGGACACGUCUGUAUGUUCAUUAAAAAUAGUGAGCAUU